Molecule: ribosomal RNA, 301 nt
Filed under: uncultured bacterium
Lineage: Bacteria
Description: partial 16S ribosomal RNA
Rfam family: Bacterial small subunit ribosomal RNA
Source: RNAcentral
CAGCAGCCGCGGGAAAACAGAGGGUGCGAGCGUUAAUCGGAUUUACUGGGCGUAAAGCGUGCGUAGGCGGCUUUUUAAGUCGGAUGUGAAAUCCCUGAGCUUAACUUAGGAAUUGCAUUCGAUACUGGGAAGCUAGAGUAUGGGAGAGGAUGGUAGAAUUCCAGGUGUAGCGGUGAAAUGCGUAGAGAUCUGGAGGAAUACCGAUGGCGAAGGCAGCCAUCUGGCCUAAUACUGACGCUGAGGUACGAAAGCAUGGGGAGCAAACAGGAUUAGAUACCCGAGUAGUCCCUGUCUCUUAUAC